This is a long non-coding RNA of Haliotis rubra (blacklip abalone), 160 nucleotides long. RefSeq lists it as uncharacterized. The transcript has 2 exons. NCBI's taxonomy places the organism in Eukaryota, Metazoa, Mollusca, Gastropoda, Lepetellida, Haliotidae. The record is from RefSeq and is a predicted model, not a curated record.
UAAAAUAUUUUUGGCGUUUCCAUUGCAACAAGUUUCACUUUGACUGAAAUUGGUGGUAGUGCUCUUUUCCGGAGCAGAGCUUAAAAUCUGUUGACUGUUUCAUCACCAAGUUUCAUGCAUAGGUAGGUCUAGUGGUGAACUGGUGCCCUUUGGUAGUUUU